UGACCAUAGUCUCUUGGACCC
RNAcentral lists this microRNA (21 nucleotides) under Prunus persica (peach). Its description in RNAcentral is "microRNA miRNA_92". The record is from RNAcentral. Lineage: Eukaryota; Viridiplantae; Streptophyta; Magnoliopsida; Rosales; Rosaceae.